RNAcentral lists this ribosomal RNA (426 nucleotides) under uncultured Caryophanaceae bacterium. Its description in RNAcentral is "bacterial SSU rRNA". It matches the Rfam family "Bacterial small subunit ribosomal RNA", at positions 356 to 774 of the family's 1533-position model. The record is from RNAcentral. Lineage: Bacteria; Bacillati; Bacillota; Bacilli; Caryophanales; Caryophanaceae.
AGGGAAUCUUCCACAAUGGACGAAAGUCUGAUGGAGCAACGCCGCGUGAGUGAUGAAGGUUUUCGGAUCGUAAAACUCUGUUGUAAGGGAAGAACCAGUACGUCAGGCAAUGGACGUACCUUGACGGUACCUUAUUAGAAAGCCACGGCUAACUACGUGCCAGCAGCCGCGGUAAUACGUAGGUGGCAAGCGUUGUCCGGAAUUAUUGGGCGUAAAGCGCGCGCAGGUGGUUUCUUAAGUCUGAUGUGAAAGCCCACGGCUUAACCGUGGAGGGUCAUUGGAAACUGGGAGACUUGAGGGAUGUAGGGGAGAACGGAAUUCCUGGUGGAGCGGUGGAAUGCGCAGAUAUCAGGAGGAACACCAGUGGCGAAGGCGGUUCUCUGGACAUUUCCUGACGCUGAGAAGCGAAAGCGUGGGGAGCAAACA